CUGGUGUUGAAGGCCCUGCAAAGCAGCAUCGCGGUGGCGGAGCGUCGUUUGCGACGCCCAACACACAAAACAAGCGGUGAGUGCUUUGGGGUGGGGUGACUGCGUACCUUUUGUAUAAUGGGUCAGCGACUUAUAUUCUGUAGCAAGGUUAACCGUAUAGGGGAGCCGUAGGGAAACCGAGUCUUAACCGGGCGUUAAGUUGCAGGGUAUAGACCCGAAACCCGGUGAUCUAGCCAUGGGCAGGUUGAAGGUUGGGUAACACUAACUGGAGGACCGAACCGACUAAUGUUGAAAAAUUAGCGGAUGACUUGUGGCUGGGGGUGAAAGGCCAAUCAAACCGGGAGAUAGCUGGUUCUCCCCGAAAGCUAUUUAGGUAGCGCCUCGUGAAUUCAUCUUCGGGGGUAGAGCACUGUUUCGGCUAGGGGGUCAUCCCGACUUACCAACCCGAUGCAAACUGCGAAUACCGGAGAAUGUUAUCACGGGAGACACACGGCGGGUGCUAACGUCCGUCGUGAAGAGGGAAACAACCCAGACCGCCAGCUAAGGUCCCAAAGUCAUGGUUAAGUGGGAAACGAUGUGGGAAGGCCCAGACAGCCAGGAUGUUGGCUUAGAAGCAGCCAUCAUUUAAAGAAAGCGUAAUAGCUCACUGGUCGAGUCGGCCUGCGCGGAAGAUGUAACGGGGCUAAACCAUGCACCGAAGCUGCGGCAGCGACACUGUGUGUUGUUGGGUAGGGGAGCGUUCUGUAAGCCUGCGAAGGUGGCCUGUGAGGGUUGCUGGAGGUAUCAGAAGUGCGAAUGCUGACAUAAGUAACGAUAAAGCGGGUGAAAAGCCCGCUCGCCGGAAGACCAAGGGUUCCUGUCCAACGUUAAUCGGGGCAGGGUGAGUCGACCCCUAAGGCGAGGCCGAAAGGCGUAGUCGAUGGGAAACAGGUUAAUAUUCCUGUACUUGGUGUUACUGCGAAGGGGGGACGGAGAAGGCUAUGUUGGCCGGGCGACGGUUGUCCCGGUUUAAGCGUGUAGGUGUGUGUUCCAGGUAAAUCCGGUUCACUUUAACACUG
Molecule: ribosomal RNA, 1058 nt
Filed under: Salmonella enterica
Lineage: Bacteria; Pseudomonadati; Pseudomonadota; Gammaproteobacteria; Enterobacterales; Enterobacteriaceae
Description: partial 23S ribosomal RNA
Rfam family: Bacterial large subunit ribosomal RNA
Source: RNAcentral